AUCCUGGCUCAGGACGAACGCUGGCGGCGUGCCUAACACAUGCAAGUCGAGCGGAGAAUUUUAUUUCGGUAGAAUUCUUAGUGGCGAACGGGUGAGUAACGCGUAGGCAACCUACCCUUUAGACGGGGACAACAUUCCGAAAGGAGUGCUAAUACCGGAUGUGAUCAUCGUGCCGCAUGGCAGGAUGAAGAAAGAUGGCCUCUACAAGUAAGCUAUCGCUAAAGGAUGGGCCUGCGUCUGAUUAGCUAGUUGGUAGUGUAACGGACUACCAAGGCGAUGAUCAGUAGCCGGUCUGAGAGGAUGAACGGCCACAUUGGGACUGAGACACGGCCCAAACUCCUACGGGAGGCAGCAGUGGGGAAUCUUCCGCAAUGGACGAAAGUCUGACGGAGCAACGCCGCGUGAGUGAUGAAGGAUUUCGGUCUGUAAAGCUCUGUUGUUUAUGACGAACGUGCAGUGUGUGAACAAUGCAUUGCAAUGACGGUAGUAAACGAGGAAGCCACGGCUAACUACGUGCCAGCAGCCGCGGUAAUACGUAGGUGGCGAGCGUUGUCCGGAAUUAUUGGGCGUAAAGAGCAUGUAGGCGGCUUAAUAAGUCGAGCGUGAAAAUGCGGGGCUCAACCCCGUAUGGCGCUGGAAACUGUUAGGCUUGAGUGCAGGAGAGGAAAGGGGAAUUCCCAGUGUAGCGGUGAAAUGCGUAGAUAUUGGGAGGAACACCAGUGGCGAAGGCGCCUUUCUGGACUGUGUCUGACGCUGAGAUGCGAAAGCCAGGGUAGCGAACGGGAUUAGAUACCCCGGUAGUCCUGGCCGUAAACGAUGGGUACUAGGUGUAGGAGGUAUCGACCCCUUCUGUGCCGGAGUUAACGCAAUAAGUA
Molecule: ribosomal RNA, 875 nt
Filed under: uncultured bacterium
Lineage: Bacteria
Description: bacterial SSU rRNA
Rfam family: Bacterial small subunit ribosomal RNA
Source: RNAcentral